UCUCAUGAACCAUUCUGGAUAUAACUUUAUUUAUAAAGGAACUAAGACUUAUGGGUCUUAAAUCAUUGAAAUGAUUUGCUGAUACCUUUUUGGGUAACAACACCAAGUUUGUAUGAGUUACAAACUUGGGCAGCUCUUGGCCACAAAAGAAAGCCCUCACCACCUUAGUAAUAUCUUCUCCAAUUAUCUCCCAACAACUUUGAAAGAAAUGACCAGUAAAGCCAUCUGGCCCAAAUGCGCUACUUCCAUUUAGCCCGAAAACCACUUUUUUAACUUCAUCUUGAUCAGGAAUCUUUGUCAUUACUUCAUUUUCUGCAUUGGUUAUGCA
Molecule: long non-coding RNA, 328 nt
Filed under: Solanum tuberosum (potato)
Lineage: Eukaryota; Viridiplantae; Streptophyta; Magnoliopsida; Solanales; Solanaceae
Description: long non-coding RNA (STUB_LNC004457)
Source: RNAcentral